ACGCUGGCGGCGUGCCUANUACAUGCAAGUCGANCGCAGGAAGCCGUCUGAACCCUUCGGGGGGACGACGGUGGAAUGAGCGGCGGACGGGUGAGUAACACGUAAAGAACCUGCCCAUAGGUCUGGGAUAACCACGAGAAAUCGGGGCUAAUACCGGAUGUGUCAUCGGACCGCAUGGUCCUGCUGAUGAAAGGCGCUCCGGCGUCGCCCAUGGAUGGCUUUGCGGUGCAUUAGCUAGUUGGUGGGGUAACGGCCCACCAAGGCGACGAUGCAUAGCCGACCUGAGAGGGUGNUCGGCCACACUGGGACUGAGACACGGCCCAGACUCCUACGGGAGNCAGCAGUAGGGAAUCUUCCACAAUGGACGAAAGUCUGAUGGAGCAACGCCGCGUGAACGAUGAAGGCUUUCGGGUCGUAAAGUUCUGUUGUAAGGGAAGAACAAGUGCCGCAGGCAAUGGCGGCAC
Molecule: ribosomal RNA, 464 nt
Filed under: Exiguobacterium sp. R-25587
Lineage: Bacteria; Bacillati; Bacillota; Bacilli; Caryophanales
Description: bacterial SSU rRNA
Rfam family: Bacterial small subunit ribosomal RNA
Source: RNAcentral